GCUAAUGGGUUUGUGUGAACUUACUAAUGGAUUUUUGUGUUGAGAAAUAUACAACUUUAAGAUGCUUUGAAUCAUAGCCAUGGAACCAAACAAGUUAAGAUGAAGUUUUAUGGAAAGUUGAAGAAAAGUUGUUUAACCAAGGAGGCAUGACAAACUAGAAAGGGGAGUAUCCCACUUCAAUGUUCUUUUGUUCUCUUACUUUGUU
RNAcentral lists this long non-coding RNA (205 nucleotides) under Lupinus angustifolius (narrow-leaved blue lupine). Its description in RNAcentral is "long non-coding RNA (LANG_LNC000228)". The record is from RNAcentral. Lineage: Eukaryota; Viridiplantae; Streptophyta; Magnoliopsida; Fabales; Fabaceae.